Molecule: long non-coding RNA, 538 nt
Filed under: Helianthus annuus (common sunflower)
Lineage: Eukaryota; Viridiplantae; Streptophyta; Magnoliopsida; Asterales; Asteraceae
Description: sRNA HanXRQr2_Chr09g0382421
Source: RNAcentral
CAUUCUUGGAAUGACAUCACGGAAUCACUUUUAGCUAGCUUUGCACAGGAAUAUUAAGGUUCUUUGUCCAUGCUAUCCAGACAAGUGAGAAAGUUAAUUUCAUUUUUGAGCACGCUAUAGGUGUUUUCUCUCGUAAGGACGAUGCUAAUCAUACGAGAGCUCUAUCUAGCGGCUGGCAGCUUUGAAGCAAAUCCUUGAUGGUAAUGAUUCACAAUUGGCAGGGACUUUAAGUGGAACUGAUUUUGAUGCAGAAGUUGCGGAGAUUUUUGCAUGUUCGUGGUUAACGAGGUAAAUGAGUUGGGAGAAACGGUGUUGCAUAUUGUUGCUGAGAAGCGGCAUCUCAAGGUUGUGAAGCAGCUACAAAAGAGAAGACUGCUGUAGUACAAUGUUUUUAUGGAAAGACAUUAACUUCUUUGUCUUCUUCCUAAAGCCAAUGGAAAAAAUGCUUGCAUUUUGUUACAAGAUUUAGACAUGAGAUUGUAAAAGCUUUAAUUAAGAUAAGAGUUUGAACGCUUUUAUAGAUAACACAUCUAUUAUU